UACGUAGGGGGCAAGCGUUGUUCGGAAUUAUUGGGCGUAAAGGGCGCGUAGGCGGCUUGGCAAGUGGAUGGUGAAAUCCCUCGGCUUAACCGAGGAACUGCCGUCCAAACUGCUUCGCUUGAGACCGGGAGAGGUGAGUGGAAUUCCCAGUGUAGCGGUGAAAUGCGUAGAUAUUGGGAGGAACACCAGUGGCGAAGGCGGCUCACUGGACCGGUACUGACGCUGAUGCGCGAAAGCGUGGGGAGCAAACGGG
This 253-nucleotide ribosomal RNA is filed under the name uncultured bacterium. RNAcentral describes it as "partial 16S ribosomal RNA". It matches the Rfam family "Bacterial small subunit ribosomal RNA", at positions 524 to 776 of the family's 1533-position model. The record is from RNAcentral.